UGAGUCGCAUGGCGCAGUCUGAUGGAGCACGCCGCGUGAGUGAUGAAGGCUUUCGGGUCGUAAAACUCUGUUGUUAGGGAAGAACAAGUGCUAGUUGAAUAAGCUGGCACCUUGACGGUACCUAACCAGAAAGCCACGGCUAACUACGUGCCACCAGCCGCGGUAAA
RNAcentral lists this ribosomal RNA (167 nucleotides) under uncultured Bacillus sp. RNAcentral describes it as "partial 16S ribosomal RNA". It matches the Rfam family "Bacterial small subunit ribosomal RNA", at positions 359 to 524 of the family's 1533-position model. The record is from RNAcentral. Lineage: Bacteria; Bacillati; Bacillota; Bacilli; Caryophanales; Bacillaceae.